GAUUUCUGGCUUGAAACAUUUGGCCGGCCACGGUUUCGUGUGUUAGUGCUUUGUGUUCUGGCCAUCCUUCCAAUCGCUACUGGCUAUUCUUCAUUGAUUGGUCAGUGGUAUUGGAUCUUUUACUUGAAAAAAUUAGCACGGAAUAAUAAUUUAGGACUUCGGUUCUAUUUUGUUGGUUUCUAGGACUGAAGUAAUGAUUGAUAGGGAUAGUUGGGGGUGCUAGUAUUCAGCGGCCAGAGGUGAAAUUCUCGGAUUCGCUGAAGACUAACUUAUGCGAAAGCAUU
Molecule: ribosomal RNA, 284 nt
Filed under: uncultured Cercozoa
Lineage: Eukaryota; Cercozoa
Description: partial 18S ribosomal RNA
Rfam family: Eukaryotic small subunit ribosomal RNA (bases 119-284)
Source: RNAcentral